RNAcentral lists this ribosomal RNA (266 nucleotides) under uncultured bacterium. RNAcentral describes it as "partial 16S ribosomal RNA". It matches the Rfam family "Bacterial small subunit ribosomal RNA", at positions 71 to 334 of the family's 1533-position model. The record is from RNAcentral.
CUUUUGUAGUAAUACGAGAGUAUCCUAGUGGCGAACGGGUGAGUAUCGCGUUGGUGACCUACCCCAAAGUCUGGGAUAACGGUUCGAAAGGACUGCUAAUACCGGAUGUGGUCAUCGGGUUUAGAAACCGAUGUCUAAAGGAUUUAUUCGCUUUGGAGGGGCCUGCGUCCCAUCGGCUAGUUGGUAAGGUAACGGCUUACCAAGGCGACGACGGGUAGGGGACCUCAGAGGGUGGCCCCCCACAAUGGAACUGAAACACGGUCCAU